AAUCUGAAAGAAGAGUUUAAAAGCUUUAAAAUGAUAUACAACACUUUAUAAUAUCAAUUUUUAUGUUUAAAAAUUAAUAAGAUGAAUGUGUCUUGUCCGUGAUUUCACCAAAGUAACACCAGUAGCUAUUUUGUUAAUAACCAUUUCAUGUGUGUAUAUUGUUAUUCUGAUCAAAAUUUGAUUUGAAGUCUUUAUCCUAUUUUCUGAUUUAGAAUUAAUAGUCGUAUCAAUUGUAUCGAUAUCAUUGCAACUUUUGUUCAUAAACAUAUAAA
This 272-nucleotide long non-coding RNA is filed under the name Mytilus galloprovincialis (Mediterranean mussel). Lineage: Eukaryota; Metazoa; Mollusca; Bivalvia; Mytilida; Mytilidae. The record is from RNAcentral.